UGUGCAGCAGUCAGGAAUUUUGGACAAUGGGGGAAACCCUGAUCCAGCAACGCCGCGUGGGCGAUGAAGGUCUUCGGAUCGUAAAGCCCUUUUCUGUGGGAAGAGGCAGGACGGUACCACAGGAAUAAGUCUCGGCUAACUACGUGCCAGCAGCCGCGGUAAAACGUAGGAGGCAAGCGUUAUCCGGAUUUACUGGGCGUAAAGCGCAUGCAGGCGGCCGUGCAAGUUGGGCGUGAAAUCUCUCGGCUUAACCGGGAGGGGUCGUCCAAUACUGCGGGGCUUGGGUGCAGGAGAGGGAAGCGGAAUUUCCAGUGUAGCGGUAAUAUGCGCAGAUAUUGGAAAGAACACCAGUGGCGAAGGCGGCUUCCUGGUCUGUAACCGACGCUAAGAUGCGAAAGCUAGGGGAGCGAACGGGAUUAGAUACCCCGGUAGUCUA
Molecule: ribosomal RNA, 436 nt
Filed under: uncultured bacterium
Lineage: Bacteria
Description: bacterial SSU rRNA
Rfam family: Bacterial small subunit ribosomal RNA
Source: RNAcentral